Molecule: small nucleolar RNA, 75 nt
Filed under: Theropithecus gelada (gelada)
Lineage: Eukaryota; Metazoa; Chordata; Mammalia; Primates; Cercopithecidae
Description: Small nucleolar RNA SNORD113/SNORD114 family (ENSTGEG00000007118.1)
Rfam family: Small nucleolar RNA SNORD113/SNORD114 family
About the family: The imprinted human domain at 14q32 contains two clusters of tandemly repeated small nucleolar RNAs named 14q(I) and 14q(II) snoRNAs.
Source: Rfam by way of RNAcentral
UGGACCAAUGAUGACUACUGAUGGUGUUUGAGUCAUGGACGAUGAAUACUGUGUGUCUGAAACUCUGAGGUCCAA